ACCCGUCUAGCUAUGGUAGGCGCUGGCCUUUUAAGCCAGUGGUCGUGGGUUCGAUCCCCACGGGGGGUG
This 69-nucleotide transfer RNA is filed under the name Phytophthora infestans (potato late blight agent). RNAcentral describes it as "tRNA-Lys". It matches the Rfam family "tRNA". From Rfam's summary of the family: Transfer RNA (tRNA) molecules are approximately 80 nucleotides in length. Their secondary structure includes four short double-helical elements and three loops (D, anti-codon, and T loops). The record is from RNAcentral. Lineage: Eukaryota; Oomycota; Peronosporomycetes; Peronosporales; Peronosporaceae.